CGGGGGGUUUGGGGUACAAAAGGGGCUCUGGGCAGGUGACAGGGCCAGCUUGGGGACAAUGGGGGGUCACAGGGGACACAGGGGGCGGGCGCAGGGGGUGACACACCCAGGCACACAGGUGACACACAGAGGGACACAGGACUGCAGGGACACAGCCCGGUUUAUUGCCAUGGUGACACCCCAAAACUCACAGCCUCAGUGUCCCCAGGACUGGUCACUGCGGGGUCACCCCAAUGUCCCCAGGACUGGUCACUGCAGGGUCACCCCAAUGUCCCCAGGACUGGUCAGUGUGGGGUCACCCCAGUGUCCCCAGGACUGGUCACUGUGGGGUCACCCCAAUGUCCCCAGGACUGGUCAGUGUGGGGUCACCCCAGUGUCCCCAGGACUGGUCACUGCAGUGACGUGAUGCUGCAGCUCCCAGGGGUCAGUUGGUCACCACAGGGGUCACUUGGCCAUGGCAGUGUCCCCACGGUGUCCCUGUGGUCACUGUGCCAUGGCAAUCCCUGUUCCACAGCCACGUCCCCACGGUGGUCACUAUGGUCAGUCACUGUGCCAUGGUGGUGUCCUGGUGUCCCCAUGGUGGUCACUAUGGUCACUGUGCCAUGGUGGUGUCCUGGUGUCCCCACGGUGGUCACUGUGCCAUGGUGGUGUCCUGGUGUCCCCACAGUGGUCACUGUGGUCAGUCACUGCUCCAUGGUGGUGUCCUGGUGUCCCCACGGUGGUCACUGUGCCAUGGUGGUGUCCCCACAGUGGUCACUGCUCUGUGGCAAUGUCCCCUCAGUGUCCCAGUGGUCAGUCACCGUGCCAUGGUAGUGCCUCUGCUGGUCACUCUGUUCACUGACCCAUGGCAAUGUCCCCGUGCUGGUCAGCGCUCCAUGGCCGUGUCCUGGGGCGGUCACUGUGGUCACUCAGCGCUCCAUGGCAGCACCCUGGGGUGGGCACUGUGGUCACUCAGCGCUCCAUGGCCGUGUCCUGGGGUGGUCACUCAGUGCUCCAUGGCGUGUCCGGGGUGGUCACUGUGGUCACUCCAGCUCCAUGGCCGUGUCCCAGGGCGGUCACUGUGG
RNAcentral lists this long non-coding RNA (1064 nucleotides) under Camarhynchus parvulus. Its description in RNAcentral is "lncRNA (ENSCPVG00000016905.1)". The record is from RNAcentral. Lineage: Eukaryota; Metazoa; Chordata; Aves; Passeriformes; Thraupidae.